UUGAACGCUGGCGGCAGGCCUAACACAUGCAAGUCGAACGGUAACAGGAAGCAGCUUGCUGCUUCGCUGACGAGUGGCGGACGGGUGAGUAAUGUCUGGGAAGCUGCCUGAUGGAGGGGGAUAACUACUGGAAACGGUAGCUAAUACCGCAUAAUGUCGCAAGACCAAAGAGGGGGACCUUCGGGCCUCUUGCCAUCGGAUGUGCCCAGAUGGGAUUAGCUUGUUGGUGGGGUAACGGCUCACCAAGGCGACGAUCCCUAGCUGGUCUGAGAGGAUGACCAGCCACACUGGGACUGAGACACGGUCCCGACUCCUACGGGAGGCAGCAGUGGGGAAUAUUGCACAAUGGGCGCAAGCCUGAUGCAGCCAUGCCGCGUGUAUGAAGAAGGCCUUCGGGUUGUAAAGUACUUUCAGCGGGGAGGAAGGGAGUAAAGUUAAUACCUUUGCUCAUUGACGUUACCCGCAGAAGAAGCACCGGCUAACUCCGUG
RNAcentral lists this ribosomal RNA (489 nucleotides) under uncultured bacterium. RNAcentral describes it as "partial 16S ribosomal RNA". It matches the Rfam family "Bacterial small subunit ribosomal RNA", at positions 30 to 507 of the family's 1533-position model. The record is from RNAcentral.